GCGGGUAUAGCUCAGUGGUAGAGCGUAACCUUGCCAAGGUUAAUGUCGCGCGUUCAAAUCGCGUUACCCGCU
This 72-nucleotide transfer RNA is filed under the name Pterocladia lucida. RNAcentral's name for it is "tRNA-Gly". It matches the Rfam family "tRNA". Rfam says of the family: Transfer RNA (tRNA) molecules are approximately 80 nucleotides in length. Their secondary structure includes four short double-helical elements and three loops (D, anti-codon, and T loops). RNAcentral also lists the same sequence under 2 other names. The record is from RNAcentral. Lineage: Eukaryota; Rhodophyta; Florideophyceae; Gelidiales; Pterocladiaceae.